This is a non-coding RNA of Parelaphostrongylus tenuis, 74 nucleotides long. NCBI's taxonomy places the organism in Eukaryota, Metazoa, Nematoda, Chromadorea, Rhabditida, Metastrongylidae. The record is from the annotation of a GenBank genome assembly.
GCUUCGGUGGUGUAGUGGUUGCCGCACGCGUUACCGGUAUAGAUAAAACGCGGGUUCGAUUCCCGCCUGAAGCC